GACGAACGCUGGCGGCGUGCUUAACACAUGCAAGUCGAACGGAAAGGCCCUGCAUUUUGGGGGUGCUCGAGUGGCGAACGGGUGAGUAACACGUGAGUAACAUGCCCUUGACUUUGGGAUAACUUCAGGAAACUGGGGCUAAUAUCGGAAAGGAGCUCCUGCUGGAUGGUGGGGGUUGGAAAGUUUCGGCGGUAGGGGAUGGACUCGCGGCUUAUCAUCUUGUUGGUGGGGUAGAGGCUUACCAAGGCUUUGACGGGUAGCCGGCCUGAGAGGGUGACCGGCAACAUUGGGACUGAGAUACGGCCCAGACUCCUACGGGAGGCAGCGUUGGGGGAUGUUGCACAAUGGGCGGAAGCCUGAUGCAGCAACGCCGCGUGCGGGAUGACGGCCUUCGGGUUGUAAACCGCGUUCGCCUGUGACGAAGCGUGAGUGACGGUAAUGGGUAAAGAAGCACCGGCUAACUACGUG
RNAcentral lists this ribosomal RNA (468 nucleotides) under uncultured bacterium. Its description in RNAcentral is "partial 16S ribosomal RNA". It matches the Rfam family "Bacterial small subunit ribosomal RNA", at positions 28 to 507 of the family's 1533-position model. The record is from RNAcentral.